Molecule: long non-coding RNA, 268 nt
Organism: Homo sapiens (human)
Lineage: Eukaryota; Metazoa; Chordata; Mammalia; Primates; Hominidae
Source: Ensembl
UAUAAUGCAGCUUUUCUACUUGAUUAAAAACCGCCAGGGCGUGAGCCACUGCACCCGGCCCCUUGUGUUAUUUUGAGGCUGGUUUAUUUGUUUCACCCAAAUACCAGCUAAAUCACAUCUCAAGACUAGGCUCCUCUGCCCACAUGGAGCUUCCACUUCUGCUGCCUUCCUUGAGUAUCUUGGCUUGAUAGUAAAGACAGAAUGGUUCUUUUCAAAGUAGUUACUCCAUAAAUGUUGGUUAGAAUGAAUGGUUCUCUCAGACAAAUUU